Silurus meridionalis is the source of this 2318-nucleotide long non-coding RNA. RefSeq lists it as uncharacterized. The record is from RefSeq and is a predicted model, not a curated record. The transcript has 2 exons. NCBI's taxonomy places the organism in Eukaryota, Metazoa, Chordata, Actinopteri, Siluriformes, Siluridae.
GUAAAAAGUUGACAUUUACAGGCAGCAAAAUGUUAACAAAAAUAAUAAUAGUAGCAAUAAGAAUAAUAAAAAUAAUUAUUAAACAUUAUAACAUUAUAACAGUGUUAUUUUGGAUAUCUGUUAGGCUGGAAGAACAAGCGGAAGCUGAAUUUCGACAGAACGGAGGUACUUUAAUGAAAUACGGGAAAGCAGAUAAACCAAACUAGCUGUAAACACGGGAACCCAAAACAAACACCAACAAAGAGUAGUUCAUUAAAAAAUCCACAGAGUAGUUCACAGAGUAGCAUAUCCACCAGGUAAAUCCACAACGAGAUAAAUCCAUAGAAAUGGUAUUCAGUAAGGUCCUGAGAUGUUCACCAGACUAAACGGUAGAACGGACGAGGAGUGCUUGGAAGUGUGUGCUUAUAUAGUGGGUGAGCUGGUGAGUGUCAGGUGUGUGUGAUUAGUAGGAUGGGGAGCUGUUAGGAGGACUUUGUGUGGUUCUAGUGAAGGUGUGGCUGGUGGAUCCCUGACAGCAUGAGAGUGGCAUCUAUGGUAACUUUGUUUUGCAAUAUUAACAUGCCAUACCGUCUAUACAAUGUUGUAGUGGACUAGUGUUGUUACAUGGUGAGUGUGGGGGGGGUCUUCAAAAUUGUCCAAAUGGAGCUGAUUGGGUCUAAAUAAUAGGAAAGAGUACUACUACAAGACCACUAUACCUCUUUGGAAGUUAAUAAAACUUCUAAUAAAAGAAGUUUAAUCUUAAUAAACUAUAAUAUCCACUAAUUUUUUUCUUGUACAGACCCCGAUUUAUGACCACUCGACUUACAACAUUUCGGAAAUACGACGGUCACCUCUAUAGUUUUUUAUUUACUUUAUUUGUACUAUGUAAAACAAUACAUAGAGUAAAUCAUAGAGUAGUUGACUCCUCUUGACUUACGAUCUGAUGGCCAUUUUUUUGGUCCCUAUCUACGUCGUAAGUUGGGGUCUACCUGUAUUUAGAAUUUAAAACAUGCAAGAUGACCUGCUUGCCAGUGCCCUUAGAGUAAAAUCUGCACAUUCAAUUAAAAGCUUUCAAUUAAAAUGUUUUCUUAUUUGCUCUGAUACACAGCUAGAAUAACAAAAAACUGUCAAUAUGCCAAUAUUUAUGGACUGGUGUAUAGAUGCAUCUUGACAUUAACAGAAAACAUUUCAAUCUCUUUUUUCUGGUGUAAAAAAAUAUUGGUGAGUGUAGAACAAAAUUAAAUCUAAAUCAGACUUGGAUUGUAUAAUGUAUGUUGAGUGAACAUUAAAAAAUGUUUUCAAGCAAUGAAAGAAUUUAAGUGCUAAUGUAGUGAGGUCCUUUAUGGGGCCUUUUAUUUUAAAAUGUACUUUUGUUUUAAAAGCAGAAAGAAAAGCGUAGCCCCUUUAAGAGGUAGGCCCCAGUGAGUGCAUUGCCCCUUUAAGAGGAAGUGUCCCGAUUAGCGUGAGCGAAUGAACAAACGCUUCGGAUUCCGUACUCUUAUAAAGUGUCUGAGCAGCUGUGAGGAAUGGUUGCUGCUUGAUUGUCUGUUUGUUUCAUCGGCAGAUUUCUUCUCUAAUCAGGCUGCGUUUAUCCUUCAUGUGCAAGUGUUGUGCAUUUAGUAAGAGGGUGAUCAGAUCUGCUCUUUGGCGGCUGGACUGUGGAUGUGCUGCUUGUUUGCCAUUUGAGUGUGGUAUUGCUGUGCAGGCCUGGUUAAACGGAGGGGAACUGCAUUUGGUCACUGCUGUCCUUUACCCUUUAUUUUUGGGUUUUGUGAUUUAAUGUUUGUUUGGUUUUCUUUAUUUAAGGCACCCAUCAUGUUGUAUGGAUGCCGUGUUUAGCUGAUUGUUAAAAAGACUAUAGGGGGAUUGUUUGCAGAUAUUUUACUGUAUGAUAACCAACUGAUUUUGUGCAUCUGUUCCUUUCCAGUGGAUCAUCUGGGAGCACUGGUUGGAUUGUGGGUGUUGGUCCUUUGAUGGUGGAAUCUUUGCUACGGUUUACACUGCAUGCUGUGUGAAUCUUAUGAAUUUACGGUGUGUGGCACUUUGCGUGUGUGUGGGUGUGCGCGUGCGUGUGUGUGUUGAUGUGUUUUCCUUUACAGGCACCAUUUUGGGUGAACCUUUUUGGGGUUAAAGUGGGCCUGCACCCGUGGCCUGUCAGCCUUCCUUUGUAUCCACUGGAAUGUUUGGUGGUAAUUGGUAAUUGUAACAGUUGGUAUCCUUUUAAUAUGAUUCAUGUUGUAGUUUUAAAUAAAAUAAGGUAUUAAUAAUAAGGGUUUAUAUUUUAACUGAUUCUGGAUGUGUUGAGGAGGUUAAUAAAAAUCCAACACUAAAAUAAGAAA